This 377-nucleotide ribosomal RNA is filed under the name uncultured bacterium. Its description in RNAcentral is "bacterial SSU rRNA". It matches the Rfam family "Bacterial small subunit ribosomal RNA", at positions 521 to 896 of the family's 1533-position model. The record is from RNAcentral.
UAAUACGUAGGGGGCGAGCGUUGUCCGGAUUUACUGGGCGUAAAGCGCCUGUAGGCGGGGCGGGAAGUCGGACGUGAAAGGCUGGGGCUCAACCCCAGAAGGCCGUUCGAAACUCUCGCUCUUGAGGGUCGAAGAGGAGCGUGGAAUUCCCGGUGUAGCGGUGAAAUGCGUAGAGAUCGGGAGGAACACCCGUGGCGAAGGCGGCGCUCUGGUCGGCAUCUGACGCUGAGAGGCGAAAGCGUGGGGAGCGAACGGGAUUAGAUACCCCGGUAGUCCACGCCGUAAACGAUGGUCACUAGGUGUCAGCGGUAUCGACCCCGCUGGUGCCGCAGCUAACGCAGUAAGUGACCCGCCUGGGGAGUACGGCCGCAAGGUUG